This 207-nucleotide non-coding RNA is filed under the name Azonexus hydrophilus. The record is from RNAcentral. Lineage: Bacteria; Pseudomonadati; Pseudomonadota; Betaproteobacteria; Rhodocyclales; Azonexaceae.
AUAAUCCGCCGCGUUACAGGUGCCGCCGAUGGGUUUUUCCACGGCGGUUAAACGGGAAAGCGGUGCAUCCCCCACAGGGACCAUUCCGCUGCUGCCCCCGCAACGGUAAGCAAGUGCGGGCGCGUCACUAGGCCACUGGGUUCAUCCCGGGAAGGCGACGCGUCAAGACUUGCGAGCCCGGAUACCGGCCUGCGACAUCACACGAAA